Molecule: ribosomal RNA, 706 nt
Filed under: uncultured Myxococcales bacterium
Lineage: Bacteria; Pseudomonadati; Myxococcota; Myxococcia; Myxococcales
Description: bacterial SSU rRNA
Rfam family: Bacterial small subunit ribosomal RNA
Source: RNAcentral
AGUCGUGCGAGAAGGGCUUCGGCCCCGGUAAAGCGGCGCACGGGUGAGUAACACGUAGGUCAUCUCCCCUCGAGUGGUGGAUAACCCUCCGAAAGGAGGACUAAUACAGCAUGAGACCACGAUCUCAUUGAGAUUGCGGUCAAAGCGGACCUCUUCUUGAAAGUUCGCGCUCAAGGAUGAGCCUGCGGCCCAUCAGCUAGUUGGCGAGGUAACAGCUCACCAAGGCUAAGACGGGUAGCUGGUCUGAGAGGAUGAGCAGCCACACUGGAACUGAAACACGGUCCAGACUCCUACGGGAGGCAGCAGUAGGGAAUCUUGCGCAAUGGACGAAAGUCUGACGCAACGACGCCGCGUGAGCGAUGAAGGCCUUCGGGUCGUAAAGCUCUGUGGGGAGAGACGAAUAAGGUAUGGCUAACAUCCAUGCCGAUGACGGUAUCUCCUUAGCAAGCACCGGCUAACUCUGUGCCAGCAGCCGCGGUAAGACAGAGGGUGCAAACGUUGUUCGGAAUUACUGGGCGUAAAGCGCGCGUAGGUGGCCGUGCAAGUCGGGCGUGAAAUCCCAUGGCUCAACCAUGGAAGUGCACUCGAAACUGCACAGCUAGAGUCUCGGAGAGGAAGGCGGAAUGCUUGGUGUAGAGGUGAAAUUCGUAGAUAUCAAGCGGAACACCGGUGGCGAAGGCGGCCUUCUGGACGAUGACUGACGCUG